Molecule: ribosomal RNA, 589 nt
Filed under: uncultured bacterium
Lineage: Bacteria
Description: bacterial SSU rRNA
Rfam family: Bacterial small subunit ribosomal RNA
Source: RNAcentral
CCUACGGGAGGCAGCAGUAGGGAAUCUUCCGCAAUGGACGAAAGUCUGACGGAGCAACGCCGCGUGAGUGAUGAAGGCUUUCGGGUCGUAAAACUCUGUUGUUAGGGAAGAACAAGUGCUAGUUGAAUAAGCUGGCACCUUGACGGUACCUAACCAGAAAGCCACGGCUAACUACGUGCCAGCAGCCGCGGUAAUACGUAGGUGGCAAGCGUUAUCCGGAAUUAUUGGGCGUAAAGCGCGCGCAGGUGGUUUCUUAAGUCUGAUGUGAAAGCCCACGGCUCAACCGUGGAGGGUCAUUGGAAACUGGGAGACUUGAGUGCAGAAGAGGAAAGUGGAAUUCCAUGUGUAGCGGUGAAAUGCGUAGAGAUGUGGAGGAACACCAGUGGCGAAGGCGACUCUCUGGUCUGUAACUGACGCUGAGGAGCGAAAGCGUGGGGAGCGAACAGGAUUAGAUACCCUGGUAGUCCACGCCGUAAACGAUGAGUGCUAAGUGUUAGGGGGUUUCCGCCCCUUAGUGCUGCAGCUAACGCAUUAAGCACUCCGCCUGGGGAGUACGGCCGCAAGGCUGAAACUCAAAGGAAUUGACGGA